UAAUGUCUGGGAAACUGCCUGAUGGAGGGGGAUAACUACUGGAAACGGUAGCUAAUACCGCAUAAUGUCGCAAGACCAAAGUGGGGGACCUUCGGGGCCUCAUGCCAUCAGAUGUGCCCAGAUGGGAUUAGCUAGUAGGUGGGGUAACGGCUCACCUAGGCGACGAUCCCUAGCUGGUCUGAGAGGAUGACCAGCCACACUGGAAUUGAGACACGGUCCAG
Molecule: ribosomal RNA, 221 nt
Filed under: uncultured bacterium
Lineage: Bacteria
Description: partial 16S ribosomal RNA
Rfam family: Bacterial small subunit ribosomal RNA
Source: RNAcentral